UCUUUAUCAAGUGGAAUAUGAGUUAUAAGUACCAUAUUUUUUAUAUUUUUUAUAAGGCGCACUUAAAAUCCUUUAAUUUUCCUAAAAAUCGUCAGUGUGCCUUUAAAUCCAGUGCACCUUAUGUAUGAAUUUUGCCAGUCAGGUUGUAAGGAGCAGUAAAGCCACUCCACUGAAGCACAGCAUCAUACAAGAGUUCUAGUUUAGUUCUCAAGCAGCUGGAGUAGCAUUAGCAUUAGCGGCUAACUGCACUAAUCACUAGCUCUUUCUUUGUUCAGAGGGAGGCUCGCUGAGGAGACUUGGUGGAGCCCACAACUCAGGGGUCAAGUCCAGGCUUUCCCAACAUCUCUACCCCCACUAUCGUCCAUCCCUGCUCUCUCCUCCUCUCUGGAGAAAUGGACGGAGUGCAGGAGAGGGACGUGAGAAGUAUGUGAGGACAGAGAGAGAGAGAAAGAGAGAAAAACAAGAGAAUGGCAGCAGAUCAGAAACACGUAGGAACAUCUCUCGAAGUGUCAAGGCUCCGCCGCUCCUGAUUGGCCCAGGCCAGAGCCGCCGCUGCCCUCCAUUGGCUGGGCCGAGGACGAAUGCGCCUGCUGACAGUCAAUGGGGGCACACGGGGGUGAGUUGUGUGAGGUAUGGGCCGCCACAUUCUUCAGCGCUGAUCAAGUCUUAUGAACUUUCACUGAUGAGUGUGUGAGAGAGACAGUAUGUGUACGUGUGUGUGUGUGUGUGUGUGUGUGUGUGUGUGUGUGUGUGGUGCGUAAUGUGCAGUAGAAUGAUGGCCUGUAGGGACCCAGUCUAUAAUUCAGGCUAGUCUAAAGGUGAGCUCGGACCAUCAGUAACUUACAGCACACACUCACACAUUACACUCACACUCAUUUGUCUUAUUUAUAUGUAUGUGUAGCUUCAUAGAUAUGUCUUAUAUACAGUUAUAAACUGUGCAAUUAUUUAAUGCCAUUGUUUUUAAUCUGAGAAAACUCUAUGCAUAUAUGUUUUAAUAUGGAAUAUUGUGAGAUGUAUUGACUUAAC
RNAcentral lists this long non-coding RNA (1026 nucleotides) under Astyanax mexicanus (Mexican tetra). Its description in RNAcentral is "lncRNA (ENSAMXG00005016121.1)". The record is from RNAcentral. Lineage: Eukaryota; Metazoa; Chordata; Actinopteri; Characiformes; Acestrorhamphidae.